GGGCUGGCUUUAGCUCAGCGGUUACUUCGUGAUAGCUUGCGCUUAAAAUCAUCUUUGAUGGUUCAAGGCCCGCGGGCGCUCUCCAGCCCUUUU
RNAcentral lists this vault RNA (93 nucleotides) under Sorex araneus (European shrew). Its description in RNAcentral is "Vault RNA (ENSSARG00000016723.1)". It matches the Rfam family "Vault RNA". From Rfam's summary of the family: This family of RNAs are found as part of the enigmatic vault ribonucleoprotein complex. The complex consists of a major vault protein (MVP), two minor vault proteins (VPARP and TEP1), and several small untranslated RNA molecules. The record is from RNAcentral. Lineage: Eukaryota; Metazoa; Chordata; Mammalia; Eulipotyphla; Soricidae.